UGAGCAAUCUGCCCUUCACAUCGGAAUAACCAUUGGAAACGAUGGCUAAUACCGAAUAUGACUUCGGAUCGCAUGAUCUGAAGUGGAAAGCUCCGGCGGUGAAGGAUGAGCUCGCGGCCUAUCAGCUUGUUGGUGAGGUAAUAGCUCACCAAGGCGAUGACGGGUAGCCGGCCUGAGAGGGUGACCGGCCACACUGGGACUGAGACCAGGCCCAG
Molecule: ribosomal RNA, 215 nt
Filed under: uncultured bacterium
Lineage: Bacteria
Description: partial 16S ribosomal RNA
Rfam family: Bacterial small subunit ribosomal RNA
Source: RNAcentral